UGUUGUUUUCUCGAAAAUCAAUUAAAAAAGACUGGAUUUUGUGUUGUAUUGACUUUAUCAGCUUUCUGCACUCUUUUCUUGUCUUUUUUAAUGCACUUUUCGUUUAACAAGUCAACAUCAAUUUCUUUUGUUGUAAAAGGGUCAUUGGAAGGUGGCUUUCCUUUCGGAGAAAGUGUUUAUAGCCUUUGGCCUCUGCAAUCGGAGAGAUUGAGGUCUGCAGCGUAGAUCCUUCGGGGUUAGAUACAUUUGUGCUAAGUUAUAGCCUUUCAUAGACAACUUGUUGACUAUGAUCAGUCAUGUAGCUUACUCGCUUAUGCUAUUUUACCUAC
This 329-nucleotide ribosomal RNA is filed under the name Neocallimastigales sp. RNAcentral describes it as "partial large subunit ribosomal RNA". Lineage: Eukaryota; Fungi; Neocallimastigomycota; Neocallimastigomycetes; Neocallimastigales. The record is from RNAcentral.